UUUCCGUAGGUGAACCUGCGGAAGGAUCAUUAAAAGAGAAUCAUCUUGGGUAAAACCAAGCAUGAAUCCCAACCCUUGUUUAUACAAAAAACAAAAAUUGUUGCUUCGGCGAAUGAUUUACUUCGUCGCCAGAAGACCCAAACCAAACUAUUAUUAAACGUCUGAAUUAAUAUUUGAAAUUCGAUUAAAACCGAAUAAAUCAAUUUAUUUACAACUUUCAACAACGGAUCUCUUGGUUCUGGCAUCGAUGAAGAACGCAGC
RNAcentral lists this unclassified non-coding RNA (261 nucleotides) under uncultured fungus. RNAcentral's name for it is "sequence contains ITS1, 5.8S rRNA gene". The stretch from base 213 to 261 matches the Rfam family "5.8S ribosomal RNA", at positions 1 to 49 of the family's 154-position model. The record is from RNAcentral. Lineage: Eukaryota; Fungi.